GAUGAACGCUAGCUACAGGCUUAACACAUGCAAGUCGAGGGGCAGCAUGGUCUUAGCUUGCUAAGGCCGAUGGCGACCGGCGCACGGGUGAGUAACGCGUAUCCAACCUGCCUUACACUCUUGGACAGCCUUCUGAAAGAAAGAUUAAUACCCGAUGGUAUAAUUAGACCGCAUGGUCUUGUUAUUAAAGAAUUUCGGUUAUCGAUGGGGAUGCGUUCCAUUAGGCAGUUGGUGAGGUAACGGCUCACCAAACCUUCGAUGGAUAGGGGUUCUGAGAGGAAGGUCCCCCACAUUGGAACUGAGACACGGUCCAA
Molecule: ribosomal RNA, 314 nt
Filed under: uncultured bacterium
Lineage: Bacteria
Description: bacterial SSU rRNA
Rfam family: Bacterial small subunit ribosomal RNA
Source: RNAcentral